This 439-nucleotide long non-coding RNA is filed under the name Mytilus galloprovincialis (Mediterranean mussel). Lineage: Eukaryota; Metazoa; Mollusca; Bivalvia; Mytilida; Mytilidae. The record is from RNAcentral.
UGUGAAAGUACUUUAAUUCGUGGGUAUCAAUUUUCGUGGUUUGAGGAAUAUUUACAUGUUUGUGGGUUUUUAAAUUCGAGGAUUUUAGUUUUCUAAAAAUAAAAAAUAAAUAAAAAUUAAAGCAUUAUAAGAGACGAAGGUUACAAAUAGUCUGGAUUGAGGAAAUUGCAAAGUAAACAUUUGACCGUGUAAAUCGUAAUGAUAACACUAAUUAACCCAUGAUAAAGUGAUCAACAGAUUAAAGAUCAUCGAAGGUAUUAAUUGGGUCAUAAACAUGUCACCUAAAGAAAACAGUAACAUAAACAAAUGCUAUAAACGUAUCUUGAAUUGUCAAAUAAUUCUUAUCAAAAUCAAACCCAUCAUGAAAUUAUAAUUUCCCAUAUGUACGAGAACUAUGAGGAUAUAAAAUGAACACUUUAUCAUACUAGCAUAUCAAUAC